CUUGCUCACACAUAUGAGGUCCAGCCUGCCCAGUGACAUUGUUCAACGGCCGCGGUAUCCUAACCGUGCGAAGGUAGCGUAAUCACUUGUUCUUUAAAUAAGGACUAGUAUGAAAGGCACCACGAGAGUCAUACUGUCUCCUUUCUCUAAUCAGUGAAACUGAUCUCCCCGUGAAGAAGCGGGGAUAAAGAUAUAAGACGAGAAGACCCUAUGGAGCUUAAAACAAAUAACACCUGCCCCUAAAAAUUCAUAAUUUCAGAAAAAUUUUCUACCCCGGCACCAUGAUUAUUAGUUUUCGGUUGGGGUGACCACGGAAUAAAAAGCAACCUCCGCAAUGAAAGACACUCAUCCACUUAAUUAAGGGCCACAACCCCACACAUCAACAAAUUGACACUAAUUGACCCAACAUGUUGAUCAAUGAAC
This 423-nucleotide ribosomal RNA is filed under the name Adenomera marmorata group sp. ABGD cluster 29. RNAcentral's name for it is "partial large subunit ribosomal RNA". It matches the Rfam family "Bacterial large subunit ribosomal RNA", at positions 1834 to 2457 of the family's 2925-position model. Lineage: Eukaryota; Metazoa; Chordata; Amphibia; Anura; Leptodactylidae. The record is from RNAcentral.